Molecule: long non-coding RNA, 2096 nt
Organism: Macaca fascicularis (crab-eating macaque)
Lineage: Eukaryota; Metazoa; Chordata; Mammalia; Primates; Cercopithecidae
Source: Ensembl
GGCCUCCCAAAGUGCUAGGAUUACAGGCAUGAGCCACCAUGCCCGGCCCCAGAAUAAUGGUUUCUUGACUUUCCAUAGCCCUUGUUCCUUAGUCUUUUGUGAUAUUUAUGUUGACCUUUAUCACUUUCUAUUCUGAACCCCUCUUAACAUUUAAUGUGAAAUCUAAGAAAUCAGAGAGAAGUAGAAUGGCUUUUAUUGUUUUGACACCUUUGAAAUUAUUAUUAAUAAUUUUUCCAGAGCAAAAAAGCAAACACGCUCAAUAAGUCUAACCAAAACAAAAUAUAAAUGUACAUCAUUUAAUGUCUCAGUGGCUCUAUCUACCUGUAAGAAAAUGAUACAAACCACCUAAGGCAUUUUGAAGCCUGACAAAUCAACUUCAUGGAAAAAGGUAAAAAAUGCAUUUUUCAACCCAAAGAAAAGAUGACCGAAAGGGCAGAUCCAAUAGAAGACCCACUCCUUAAAUAAACAUAAAAUGUAAAAAGUUGGAAAAUUAGGAGUAAUGUUGCAUCUGGAAACUGAACUUUUUAUCCUUGAACUUGUGUUGGCACCAAGCCUCAUACACAGUGAGCUCAAUAACUGUCUGUUGGGACAAAGGAAGGAAGGACAAAAUGUGUAACUCCCCAGCAUCUGGGAGAUGCUGUCUCUGCCCUGCUGAGUGUUCCUUUUAUUUGCUCUCAUGUCAUUCCCUGAGAACAAUGAAUUCUGGGACAGGCUAAACAUCAUGACGAAAUUUCUUAAACAGACUUUCUGAGUGGAAAUCCAUUUAGAUCUGUGUAUGCUCUAUGGGGAGUGCUGACGUCAGAGAGUAAACGUCUAUAAGGGGCCCUUUUAAAAUGAACAUUUUCCUCAUUGGGAUUCUCUAAUCAUGUAGAAAUCAAACUAUCUUUAUAAUUUCACUUCAGAUGUUUUUGGUUUUGUGUUUUUGUCUCCAAUGAUGGUAAAAAUAAAAAACACACAUUACUUAAAGGAGUUUCCCUCACAUGUAAACACUGUUAGGAAGUCUGGAUUAAGUUGAAAGUCUUGUUUUAACUAUUUUUUUCUCUCAUAUACCAAACACUCUGUAUUUCUCUUAAAGAAGCUCUGUAAGAGAAAGCCCUAAUUUUAAAUCUGACAGUAAAGUUUGCUGCAAGUGUAUGAGUUCAAACACAUCCCUUGUUUUCUGUCCCUAGGGGAAAAGUCAUCUGGUGUUAGCUUGGCUCCUGUGUUAAUAUUAUAUUCAGUAGCAGGCUUAGAAGAGUGGUCUAAGACUUGAACCUGGAGCAGUUUUAUAGCACAGAAUCCUAUGAAGAUAGGACUGUGAGCAUUUGUUUUCUUUUUUUGUGUGUCAAACUAAUUGGCUUUUGCUUUAGCAAUAAAAUGUCCUCAACAGAAUAAAUUUUAAAUGUGAAAAUUAUAGAUCUUGGUAUUGAAUCCAUCAGUGAUUCAAGAGAUACACCUAUUUGCCUAAAACAACAUAAGAUGUAUUAGUUAUGGAAUUACGUGUUGGAUAGGUUCUUAAGACCUGUUUCCUCAAUUCUUGACACAGUUUUCAAGGGUGGCUUUUUGACUUGCAUGGUUGGGCAGAUAAUCCAGAUUUACCUAAGAUUGGGUAAAAAAGUGAUCUGUGAGUUUGCUGGCAGGGCAUUUGCUAAAUGGAGUACAGGAUCUAACAGAGUUUUCUUAGAAAGGGCAAUAUUGUCCAAUGAAGGAAGCAGAAGGACUUUGGGUUAGAAGCAUCUGCACAAAAGCUGGUGAGACCUACUCUCCACUGCUCUGCAGCUGGUCAGCCGAUGGCAGGCUGAGCAGUGGGGAAGCAGGUUUUAACAAUAGGUAGUCCUUCCAGGUCACUGUAUAUUGAGAAGAAACAUAAAACUAUUUUGUGUCACAUUCCGAGGUCAGCCUUCUUCUUAACGUUUUAUAGUAUACAAACGCCAGCUUCUGGAAAGCAAGUGUCAUCAUGUACCAAAUGCUUUAUACACCAUCACAUUCGUGAAUUUUUUAGCAUGGUCAGAACUUGUGUAAAUAUGUCUCUUAGAUGAUUUUGGGGAGAUGUGAUUUAUUUUUCAUAUUUUCAAAAUGCAUUCCAUUUCAAAUAAAGUAUCUAUUGAGACAACCGA